GAUGAACGCUGGCGGCGUGCCUUACACAUGCAAGUCGAGCGAACAGACGUGGAUCUUGCGCCUCUGACGUUAGCAGCGGGCGGGAGAGUAACACGUGGAUAAGCUAAAUAGAAGACUGGGAUAACUACGGGAAACCGGAGCGAAUACCGGAUAAAAUAUUGAACCGCAUGGUUCAAUAGUGAAAGACGGUUUUGCUGUCACUGAAAGAUGUGACCGGGCCGCAUUAGCGAGGUGGUAAGGUAACGGCUUACCAAGGCAACGGUGAGUAGCCGACCUGGGAGGGUGAUCGGCGCCACUGGGAGUGAGAGACCGCCCAGACUCCUACUGGGGGCAGGCGUAGAGAACCAUGCGAAACAGGCGAAGGGCUGACGGAGCAACGCGGCGUGGGUUAUGGGGGCCUUCCGGCGGUAAAACACAGUUAUUACGGAAGAACAAAUUUUUAAGUAACUAUACACGCCUUGACGGUACCUGAUCAAUAAGCCACGGCUAACUCCGUG
This 497-nucleotide ribosomal RNA is filed under the name uncultured bacterium. RNAcentral's name for it is "partial 16S ribosomal RNA". It matches the Rfam family "Bacterial small subunit ribosomal RNA", at positions 28 to 507 of the family's 1533-position model. The record is from RNAcentral.